AACGAACGCUGGCGGCGUGCCUAACACAUGCAAGUCGAACGAGACCUUCGGGGCUAGUGGCGCACGGGUGCGUAACGCGUGGGAACCUGCCCUUAGGUUCGGAAUAACUCCCCGAAAGGGGUGCCAAUACCGGAUAAUGUCUUCGGACCAAAGAUUUAUCGCCUUUGGAUGGGCCCGCGUUGGCUUAGCUAGUUGGUAGGGUAAAAGCCUACCAAGGCGACGAUCCAUAGCUGGUCUGAGAGGCUGAUCAGCCACACUGGGACUGAGACCCGGCCCAGACUCCUACGGGAGGCAGCAGUGGGGAAUAUUGGACGCUGGGCGAAAGCCUGAUCCAGCAAUGCCGCGUGAGUGAUGCAGGCCUUAGGGUUGUAAAGCUCUUUUACCCGGGAUGAUAAUGACAGUACCGGGAGAAUAAGCUCCGGCUAACUCCGUG
Molecule: ribosomal RNA, 433 nt
Filed under: uncultured bacterium
Lineage: Bacteria
Description: partial 16S ribosomal RNA
Rfam family: Bacterial small subunit ribosomal RNA
Source: RNAcentral